CAGGGAAUCUUGCACAAUGGGCGAAAGCCUGAUGCAGCGACGCCGCGUGGGGGAUGAAGGCCCUAGGGUCGUAAACCCCUUUCAGCAGGGACGAAAAUGACGGUACCUGCAGAAGAAGCCCCGGCCAACUACGUGCCAGCAGCCGCGGUAAGACGUAGGGGGCGAGCGUUGUCCGGAUUUAUUGGGCGUAAAGAGCUCGUAGGCGGUUGCGUAAGUCGGAUGUGAAAACUCAGGGCUCAACCCUGAGACGCCAUCCGAUACUGCGCUGACUUGAAUCCAGUAGGGGAGUGCGGAAUUCCUGGUGUAGCGGUGAAAUGCGCAGAUAUCAGGAGGAACACCCAUGGCGAAGGCAGCACUCUGGGCUGGUAUUGACGCUGAGGAGCGAAAGCAUGGGUAGCGAACAGGAUUAGAUACCCUCGUAGUCCCUGAGCGGGCUGGCAAGGCGCAU
This 448-nucleotide ribosomal RNA is filed under the name uncultured bacterium. RNAcentral's name for it is "bacterial SSU rRNA". It matches the Rfam family "Bacterial small subunit ribosomal RNA", at positions 355 to 825 of the family's 1533-position model. The record is from RNAcentral.